Molecule: long non-coding RNA, 859 nt
Filed under: Homo sapiens (human)
Lineage: Eukaryota; Metazoa; Chordata; Mammalia; Primates; Hominidae
Description: HSALNT0298936
Source: RNAcentral
UGGAUGAGGGAAAGUUUGACCCCAUAUGUGGGUGUCUGUCACCAAGAUAGAAUGAAUGUAAUUUCCAAGGAAAAAUAAUCCCAGGCAACCUCUUCUGGAUUAUGUCCCAACUGAUUGGAAAUGCUGGGAACUUUCUGUGGUUGAAGGACCUUGACAUUUGUUGUCAAACUGCCUGUGAGUCACUUAUCUUCUGGGGGAAAAUAAACAUAACCGUGUCUUCCAGUCUGAAGUGGGGUGGGUGGGUGAUAUGAAGCAUUGCACACAGCAGAGCCUGCUGCCCCUCCACAGCCUCUGCAAAUGCCGUGUGAAGGUGGUGGACCUGCUACCAGAACUGGUGUCCUGCUGUCUCUGUAGUUAACUCUUAGGAGAAAUAACGGUUGUGUGUGUGGAGCUCCAGACUCUGUGCUCUGUUCUGCAGUGUUGGAGCUAGGACCGCACAUCCCAGCUGCUUUGCCAGUGGCUUCCGGGCCACCUCCAUCAGCAGGAGGCGGUAGAAGCACCAGCAAGAUGGGGCUUUGGUCCUUCCUGUUGGCUUCCUGUUGCCCCAGCUGUAGCUGUUGAAUUCAGUCUUCAGUUAUCCCAGCACUGGCCAGCCAGCCUCAUCGUCCACACUCCCUGCAGAUCCCACCACUCCUCCAAGGAAGUCUCUACCUCAGGGCCCUUUGGCUACGCUUCUAAGGUUAAGUCUAACCGGUUCCCUCAGGCCUAGGGGUGGUGGCUGCUUCCUGUCGUUGCUACUUCCCUGAUAUCUAGAAUUUUCCUUUUUCUACCCAGUUACCUGGUUACUGACUUUCUACCCAGUUAACAAUUUAUAUUAAAGCCCUUCUGUUCAAAAAGCUUAUGUAGUUUCUGCGUUCUA